GAUGAACGCUGGCGGCGUGCCUAAUACAUGCAAGUCGAGCGAACAGACGAGGAGCUUGCUCCUCUGACGUUAGCGGCGGACGGGUGAGUAACACGUGGAUAACCUACCUAUAAGACUGGGAUAACUUCGGGAAACCGUAGCUAAUACCGGAUAAUAUAUUGAACCGCAUGGUUCAAUAGUGAAAGACGGUUUUGCUGUCACUUAUAGAUGGAUCCUCGCCGCAUUAGCUAGUUGGUAAGGUAACGGCUUACCAAGGCGACGAUGCGUAGCCGACCUGAGAGGGUGAUCGGCCACACUGGAACUGAGACACGGUCCAGACUCCUACGGGAGGCAGCAGUAGGGAAUCUUCCGCAAUGGGCGAAAGCCUGACGGAGCAACGCCGCGUGAGUGAUGAAGGUCUUCGGAUCGUAAAACUCUGUUAUUAGGGAAGAACAAAUGUGUAAGUAACUAUGCACGUCUUGACGGUACCUAAUCAGAAAGCCACGGCUAACUACGUG
This 497-nucleotide ribosomal RNA is filed under the name uncultured bacterium. RNAcentral's name for it is "partial 16S ribosomal RNA". It matches the Rfam family "Bacterial small subunit ribosomal RNA", at positions 28 to 507 of the family's 1533-position model. The record is from RNAcentral.